AGCAGCCGCGGUAAUUCCAGCUCCAAUAGCGUAUAUUAAAGUUGUUGCAGUUAAAAAGCUCGUAGUUGAAUUUCGGGAUCAAGUUGUUGGUCGUGCCUCGGUACGCACUGGUGACAUUGGUUUCUCCCUUCUGAAGAACCUUGAUGUCAUUAAUUUGGUGUCUUGGGGAAUCAGGACUGUUACUUUGAAAAAAUUAGGGUGUUUAAAGCAGGCUCACGCCUGAAUACAUUAGCAUGGAAUAAUGAAAUAGGACGUUUGAUUCUAUUUUGUUGGUUUCUAGGAUCGACGUAAUGAUUAAUAGGGAUAGUUGGGGGCAUUAGUAUUCAAUUGUCAGAGGUGAAAUUCUUGGAUUUAUUGAAGACUAAUUACUGCGAAAGCAUUUGCCAAGGAUGUUUUCAUUAAUCAAGAACGAAAGUUAGGGAUCGAAGACGAUCAGAUACCGUCGUAGUCUUAACCAUAAACUAUGACCGACUAGGGAUCGGAUGAUGUUAAUUUUUAAUGUACUUCAUUCGGCGCCUUA
Molecule: ribosomal RNA, 520 nt
Filed under: uncultured Glomus
Lineage: Eukaryota; Fungi; Glomeromycota; Glomeromycetes; Glomerales; Glomeraceae
Description: SSU rRNA
Rfam family: Eukaryotic small subunit ribosomal RNA
Source: RNAcentral